Long non-coding RNA from Planococcus citri (citrus mealybug), 469 nucleotides. RefSeq lists it as uncharacterized. The record is from RefSeq and is a predicted model, not a curated record. The transcript is spliced from 2 exons. NCBI's taxonomy places the organism in Eukaryota, Metazoa, Arthropoda, Insecta, Hemiptera, Pseudococcidae.
GGGUUCGACAACCGAUAAGAAACUGGAACGUCGGCCUCAGCCCGGAACCGGAACGAAAGGGAAAGGCGCUCAUGCUCAUACGGCUACGGUAGGCUACGGUAGCUACGGCGCCACUGCGCCACGCCACUGGUGCUGUUGUUUUUCCUCAAGCACGAUGCUCAACCUACUUUUUCUCAAGAAUUUGUUAUCAUCAAACAUUCGGCCGUGCCGCGUCAUGUCAUCGAAUUAGAAUAAAGUCUCGAAUUUAUUCGGAUUUCAUACCAGAUAAAUAAGAAAUAAUAAACACCAGUGACGAGUAAUCCCGCAGCUUGACAGUUAUAUGUGUAAUUGUGUCAACAUUGUGCCAUUGAGCCAUCGCAGAAUUCAAAUCGGCAAUGUCAAUCCUGUAUCGAACUGAAAUUGGUUAUGGUUCGUCUUGAAAUUACCGCUCCAAGUUUUUUCUGAAAUUCUACGCUGCAGCUCUGCACUC